UAGGGAAUCUUCGGCAAUGGGGCAACCCUGACCGAGCAACGCCGCGUGAGUGAAGAAGGUUUUCGGAUCGUAAAGCUCUGUUGUAAGAGAAGAACGUGUGUGAGAGUGGAAAGUUCACACAGUGACGGUAACUUACCAGAAAGGGACGACUAACUACGUGCCAGCAGCCGCGGUAAUACGUAGGUCCCGAGCGUUGUCCGGAUUUAUUGGGCGUAAAGCGAGCGCAGGCGGUUUAAUAAGUCUGAAGUUAAAGGCAGUGGCUUAACCAUUGUUCGCUUUGGAAACUGUUAAACUUGAGUGCAGAAGGGGAGAGUGGAAUUCCAUGUGUAGCGGUGAAAUGCGUAGAUAUAUGGAGGAACACCGGUGGCGAAAGCGGCUCUCUGGUCUGUAACUGACGCUGAGGCUCGAAAGCGUGGGGAGCAAACAGG
This 428-nucleotide ribosomal RNA is filed under the name bacterium. Its description in RNAcentral is "partial 16S ribosomal RNA". It matches the Rfam family "Bacterial small subunit ribosomal RNA", at positions 355 to 776 of the family's 1533-position model. The record is from RNAcentral.